Molecule: ribosomal RNA, 465 nt
Filed under: uncultured bacterium
Lineage: Bacteria
Description: partial 16S ribosomal RNA
Rfam family: Bacterial small subunit ribosomal RNA
Source: RNAcentral
AUGAACGCUGGCGGCGUGCUUAACCCAUGCAAGUCGAACGCUGAAGCCCAGCUUGCUGGGUGGAUUAGUGGCGAACGGGUGAGUAACACGUGAGUAACCUGCCCUUAACUCUGGGAUAAGCCUGGGAAACUGGGUCUAAUACCGGAUAGGAGCGCCUACCGCAUGGUGGGUGUUGGAAAGAUUUAUCGGUUUUGGAUGGACUCGCGGCCUAUCAGCUUGUUGGUGAGGUAAUGGCUCACCAAGGCGACGACGGGUAGCCGGCCUGAGAGGGUGACCGGCCACACUGGGACUGAGACACGGCCCAGACUCCUACGGGAGGCAGCAGUGGGGAAUAUUGCACAAUGGGCGAAAGCCUGAUGCAGCGACGCCGCGUGAGGGAUGACGGCCUUCGGGUUGUAAACCUCUUUCAGUAGGGAAGAAGCGAAAGUGACGGUACCUGCAGAAGAAGCACCGGCUAACUACGUG